RNAcentral lists this ribosomal RNA (485 nucleotides) under uncultured bacterium. RNAcentral's name for it is "bacterial SSU rRNA". It matches the Rfam family "Bacterial small subunit ribosomal RNA", at positions 28 to 507 of the family's 1533-position model. The record is from RNAcentral.
GACGAACGCUGGCGGCGUGCCUAACACAUGCAAGUCGAGCGGAGAUAUGUAGAGGAAGUUUUCGGAUGGAGUUUAUAUAUUUUAGCGGCGGACGGGUGAGUAACGCGUGAGGAACCUGCCCUUUACAGGGGGAUAACGCACCGAAAGGUGCACUAAUACCGCAUGAGACCACAGCACCGCAUGGUGCAGGGGUCAAAGGAGUAAUCCGGUGAAGGAGGGACUCGCGUCCGAUUAGAUAGUUGGUGAGGUAACGGCUCACCAAGUCAACGAUCGGUAGCCGACCUGAGAGGGUGAUCGGCCACAUUGGAACUGAGACACGGUCCAAACUCCUACGGGAGGCAGCAGUGGGGAAUAUUGGGCAAUGGGGGGAACCCUGACCCAGCGACGCCGCGUGAGGGAAGAAGGUUUUCGGAUUGUAAACCGCUUUCAGUAGGGACGAAGCGCAAGUGACGGUACCUACAGAAGAAGCACCGGCUAACUACGUG